UCUCCGUAGGUGAACCUGCGGAGGGAUCAUUACUGAGUGAGGGUUUAACCGCCCGACCUCCAACCCUUUGUGAAUCGUACUCGUUGCUUCGGGGGCGACCCUGCCGUCCGCGGCCGAGCGCCCCCGGAGGCCAUUAAACACUGCAUCAUUGCGUCGGAGUUAAAGUAAAUUAAACAAAACUUUCAACAACGGAUCUCUUGGUUCCAGCAUCGAUGAAGAACGCCAGC
Molecule: unclassified non-coding RNA, 227 nt
Filed under: uncultured fungus
Lineage: Eukaryota; Fungi
Description: sequence contains ITS1, 5.8S rRNA gene
Rfam family: 5.8S ribosomal RNA (bases 178-227)
Source: RNAcentral